This 465-nucleotide ribosomal RNA is filed under the name Vreelandella stevensii. RNAcentral describes it as "partial 16S ribosomal RNA". It matches the Rfam family "Bacterial small subunit ribosomal RNA", at positions 338 to 795 of the family's 1533-position model. The record is from RNAcentral. Lineage: Bacteria; Pseudomonadati; Pseudomonadota; Gammaproteobacteria; Oceanospirillales; Halomonadaceae.
CCUACGGGCGGCAGCAGUGGGGAAUAUUGGACAAUGGGCGAAAGCCUGAUCCAGCCAUGCCGCGUGUGUGAAGAAGGCCUUCGGGUUGUAAAGCACUUUCAGUGGGGAAGAAAGCCUUGGGGCUAAUACCCUCGAGGAAGGACAUCACCCACAGAAGAAGCACCGGCUAACUCCGUGCCAGCAGCCGCGGUAAUACGGAGGGUGCGAGCGUUAAUCGGAAUUACUGGGCGUAAAGCGCGCGUAGGCGGUCUGAUAAGCCGGUUGUGAAAGCCCCGGGCUCAACCUGGGAACGGCAUCCGGAACUGUCAGGCUAGAGUGCAGGAGAGGAAGGUAGAAUUCCCGGUGUAGCGGUGAAAUGCGUAGAGAUCGGUAGGAAUACCAGUGGCGAAGGCGGCCUUCUGGACUGACACUGACGCUGAUGUGCGAAAGCGUGGGUAGCAAACAGGAUUAGAUACCCUUGUAGUC